Molecule: ribosomal RNA, 200 nt
Filed under: uncultured organism
Description: partial small subunit ribosomal RNA
Rfam family: Bacterial small subunit ribosomal RNA
Source: RNAcentral
GUCAAAUCAUCAUGCCCCUUAUGACCUGGGCUACACACGUACUACAAUGGUCGGUACAAAGGGCAGCGAGGCCGCGAGGCGGAGCGAAUCCCAAAAAGCCGAUCCCAGUUCGGAUUGCAGGCUGCAACUCGCCUGCAUGAAGCCGGAGUUGCUAGUAACCGCGCAUCAGCAGUGGCGCGGUGAAUACGUUCCCGGGCCUU